This 85-nucleotide non-coding RNA is filed under the name Borreliella burgdorferi 118a. The record is from RNAcentral. Lineage: Bacteria; Pseudomonadati; Spirochaetota; Spirochaetia; Spirochaetales; Borreliaceae. RNAcentral also lists the same sequence under 2 other names.
UUCUAUGAUGACAUGUGACCUAUAGGCUUAACUAUAAACAGGUUAUUGAAUUUAAUAUUUUUUAGAAAAGUAUUAAAUUCUAAAU